This 468-nucleotide ribosomal RNA is filed under the name uncultured bacterium. RNAcentral's name for it is "partial 16S ribosomal RNA". It matches the Rfam family "Bacterial small subunit ribosomal RNA", at positions 28 to 507 of the family's 1533-position model. The record is from RNAcentral.
GACGAACGCUGGCGGCGUGCUUAACACAUGCAAGUCGAACGGAAAGGCCCUGCUUUUGUGGUGUGCUCGAGUGGCGAACGGGUGAGUAACACGUGAGUAACCUGCCCUUGACUUUGGUAUAACUUCAGGAAACUGGGGCUAAUACCGGAUAGGAGCUCCUGCUGCAUGGUGGGGGUUGGAUAGUUUCGGCGGUUGGGGAUGGACUCGCGGCUUAUCAGCUUGGUGGUGGGGUAGUGGCUUACCAAGGCUUUGACGGGUAGCCGGCCUGAGAGGGUGACCGGCAUCAUGGGGACUGAGAUACGGCCCAGACUACUACGGGAGGCAGCAGUGGGGAAUGUUGCACAAUGGGAGGCAUCCUGAUGCAGCAACGCCGCGUGCGGGAUGACGGCCUUCGGGUUGUCACCCGUUUUCGACUGUGACGAAGCGGGAGUGACGGUAAUGGGUAAAGAAGCACCGGCUAACUACGUG